RNAcentral lists this ribosomal RNA (849 nucleotides) under uncultured bacterium. Its description in RNAcentral is "bacterial SSU rRNA". It matches the Rfam family "Bacterial small subunit ribosomal RNA", at positions 43 to 883 of the family's 1533-position model. The record is from RNAcentral.
UGCGCNCCUACCAUGCNAAUCGAACGGAAACGAUGGAAGCUUGCUUCCAGGCGUCGAGUGGCGGACGGGUGAGUAAUACUUAGGAAUCUGCCCAGUAGUGGGGGACAACAUUCGGAAACGGAUGCUAAUACCGCAUACGCACUACGGUGGAAAGUGGGGGACCUUCGGGCCUCACGCUAUUGGAUGAGCCUAAGUCGGAUUAGCUUGUUGGUGAGGUAAUAGCUCACCAAGGCGACGAUCCGUAGCUGGUCUGAGAGGACGAUCAGCCACACUGGGACUGAGACACGGCCCAGACUCCUACGGGAGGCAGCAGUGGGGAAUAUUGGACAAUGGGCGCAACCCUGAUCCAGCGACGCCGCGUGGGUGAAGAAGGCCUGCGGGUUGUAAAGCCCUUUCGGUAGGGACGAAAGCUUCCGAUCUAAUAAAUCGGAAGGUUGACUUAACCUACAAAAGAAGCACCGGCUAACUCUGUGCCAGCAGCCGCGGUAAUACAGAGGGUGCGAGCGUUAAUCGGAAUUACUGGGCGUAAAGCGCACGCAGGCGGCUUUGCAAGUCGGAUGUGAAAUCCCCGGGCUCAACCUGGGAACUGCAUUCGAUACUGUCAGGCUAGAGUAUGGUAGAGGGAAGUGGAAUUCCAGGUGUAGCGGUGAAAUGCGUAGAUAUCUGGAGGAACAUCAGUGGCGAAGGCGACUUCCUGGACCAAUACUGACGCUGAGGUGCGAAAGCGUGGGGAGCGAACAGGAUUAGAUACCCUGGUAGUCCACGCCGUAAACGAUGUCAACUAGGUGUUGGGAAGUUUAACUUCUUAGUAUCGUAGCUAACGCGUUAAGUUGACCGCCUGGGGAGUAC